Molecule: long non-coding RNA, 1999 nt
Organism: Zonotrichia albicollis (white-throated sparrow)
Lineage: Eukaryota; Metazoa; Chordata; Aves; Passeriformes; Passerellidae
Source: Ensembl
AUGCCCAGAAAUCCAGGUGGGGGCUCAGAAACGCCCAUGGAGAGACCCAGGGAGCAGGGAGAGUCACAAGGAGGGUGCCAGGGUGCCCAGAAAUCCAGGUGGGGGCUCAGAAACGCCCAUGGAGAGACCCAGGGAGCAGGGAGAGGUGCUUGGAGGGCUCUGGGCUCACUGACAGAAUUCCCUGAGGUGCUGGCAGGCCAGGGAGGGCUCUGGGGUGCAAGGGAAGGCAGAAGGAGAACGUUGGGGUACAGUGAACAUCCUCAGAGGCCUCGAGAACCCCAAAAGCCACUUGGAAGGCUCUGGGGGUGCACACACUCACUCACACAGGAAGGGAGGUGUAGGAAAAACCAAAUGCCGCUCAGUUACCACUGCAGAAAGGGCACCUGGAGGGCUCUGUUGGGAGGACCCGGGGCUCAGGGAUGCAGCACAAGGCAGGCAGAGGCUCCUGGGGCACAGCCACAGCCUCUCCCAUGCCCGGGGGAUUCCUGGGAACACCAGGAACAGGGCUGUGGCCAUGGGGCUCUGGCUCUCUUGCAGAGAAACCCGGGUGUGUCCCGGGGGACGAGCAGCAGCCUCUGUCCCACUCUGCUGGCCAUCCCACGCUUUGGAAGCUUUCCCUCGGUGUCAGCAGAGCUGCAGGGCCCAGCUGGGGGAGAUCUCAGCAGCUCCUUCCUCCCAAGGGCUGUUUUCCUGCCCUGCCUGUGGCAGUUCUGCCCAGGUGCUGCUGGGGGGAUCCCUCUGAGUGUUUGGUGUCUGCAGCCUGCUCCAGCCAAAGCAGUGUGUGCUCUGUGCCAGCUGCCAGCAGCAUCUGAACCUCCCAAACUGCUGCAAACCCCCCCUCCAGCACUGAGAGGAGUGAGGCUGCCUCUCACCAGCCUUUUCCUCAGGAUUUUCCUUCUGGAUAACGUUGACAUCAUGUCUGGGGCAGGCAAGUGGCUGCAGCCCUGCACACACCUGGGAGCUGGAGCUGGUGCGUGGCCAGGCUGGGUUUGCCACUGAGCUUUUGGCUGAGGAUGAUCCCUCAGCCUCGGGGGAUGCAGGAAUUGCAGCCACCAGCCCCAGGGACGUGCAGCAGCUCCCGUGGAUCCCUUGGGAAAGCCCACAGCCACCUGCUUCUCCAGCACCGCCCCUUUCCCUGUUCCCCCUCCCUGUCCAUGAGUGUAAAUACAACACAGUCUAGUUUGCUUGGAUGCUGUGGGUGCUCUGUUUCAGGCAGGGAUGUCUGUGGGGCUUGGCUUGGCUCUUUUGGGGUGGCUCUGGGGCUCUGUGCCUCAGUUUCCCUGUGGAUGAUCACUGACAGUACCUGGAGCUGGCUGGGGAUCAGACCUGCACCCCCAGAUCUCAAACCCACCAGGGGCUGGGCUGGAUGAUCCCCAGAGGUCACUGCAACCCUGACAAGUCUGGAUGAGCAGGAAGCCCUGGCUGGGUUUGAGGGGCUCUGAGGUUCUCCUCUUGUCUGCUGUCACCCCCUUGGGGCAGGAAAGGGAGUUUGGGACAGCAAAGCCUCCCCUUCCCAUAUCCAUGUGGGCAUUUGGGCUGUGUGUGGCACCAGGGGUGACUUCAGCAAGGCUUGGCUUGGUGACAUCUCUGUGGGGGGACACGGGAAUGUGGGAGGAUGGAUGGACAGGAGGGAGGGCCUGCAUGAAAGCAGAGCUCCGAGGGCCUGGUGGGCACAGCAGAGCCCCCCUGUCCCCAUUGCUGUCCCGAGGCAUCAGAACCUCCUCCAGCCCCUCUGCCCGUGGGACAGAUCAGAUCCUGAUCGGGUUUCACGGUGAUUCAGAGCAGGGGAGUGACCGAUCCACCUGCAGGCCCUGCUGCCAUCCAGAGGGACCCUGAGGGGCUGCGUGGGGGCAAACCUGGGGGGGUUCAACAAGGGCAAGUGUAGAGUCCUUGUAGACCCCCCAGGGGCCAGCACGGGCUGGGGUGACCCAUGGAGAGCAGCUCUGCAGAGGGACCUGGGGGUGCUGGGGGAUGGCAAACUGUCCCUGAGCCAGCAGAG